Molecule: long non-coding RNA, 586 nt
Organism: Nerophis lumbriciformis (worm pipefish)
Lineage: Eukaryota; Metazoa; Chordata; Actinopteri; Syngnathiformes; Syngnathidae
Source: RefSeq, a predicted model, not a curated record
CCAGUGCUCCCACCAUUGAACUUUCCAAACUCCAGCGAGUACCAGACCACUUCAGCCAGUACCAGCCAAUACUACACCACUCCAAGGCAUCCAGGCCGACCUCACAGCCCAGCGAGAAGCAGCACUUACAGGCUCAGUCCAGACAGGAAUCAUGCAUCCAGCUCAAGCCAGUACCAAACCACUCCAGCCAGUACGAGUCAGUACCAGACCACUCCAAGAAGCAGCAGGAAUGCCCUUGAAAGUGAACUUUUCCAGUUAAACAUGAAAGUUAAAAAAAAUAGUUGAGAACCAGGGAGAAAUUAUGCGCAUGCUGAGAGGGCUGGCAGCACAGUCUGUGGGGCCAGAAGCUGUGGAUGUUCAAGAUCUCAUUGAGAAGCCUUUCGAGACUCUUGAGCAGCUUAAGACCUUCUGUGAACAGCUCGACACUGAUCUUCUGCUCAGAAAGCAGCUGGUGAAAGCUCUUACUGCUCUUGGUGGGCAGAAUUUGGCAGACACGGUGAGGACAAUGCUGAGGAAAAUUGCCACAAACAAAGUCCUGGAGCAGCUUGGUCUCCGUGGAAAGACAGGCAAAGUGGCGUUUGAGGAC